UAGGGAAUCUUCGGCAAUGGACGAAAGUCUGACCGAGCAACGCCGCGUGAGUGAAGAAGGUUUUCGGAUCGUAAAACUCUGUUGUUAGAGAAGAACAAGGACGUUAGUAACUGAACGUCCCCUGACGGUAUCUAACCAGAAAGCCACGGCUAACUACGUGCCAGCAGCCGCGGUAAUACGUAGGUGGCAAGCGUUGUCCGGAUUUAUUGGGCGUAAAGCGAGCGCAGGCGGUUUCUUAAGUCUGAUGUGAAAGCCCCCGGCACAACCGGGGAGGGUCAUUGGAAACUGGGAGUCUUGAGUGCAGAAGAGGAGAGUGGAAUUCCAUGUGUAGCGGUGAAAUGCGUAGAUAUAUGGAGGAACACCAGUGGCGAAGGCGGCUCUCUGGUCUGUAACUGACGCUGAGGCUCGAAAGCGUGGGGAGCAAACAGG
Molecule: ribosomal RNA, 429 nt
Filed under: Gemmatimonadota bacterium
Lineage: Bacteria; Pseudomonadati; Gemmatimonadota
Description: Gemmatimonadetes bacterium partial 16S ribosomal RNA
Rfam family: Bacterial small subunit ribosomal RNA
Source: RNAcentral